RNAcentral lists this ribosomal RNA (330 nucleotides) under uncultured Actinomycetes bacterium. RNAcentral describes it as "bacterial SSU rRNA". It matches the Rfam family "Bacterial small subunit ribosomal RNA", at positions 28 to 351 of the family's 1533-position model. Lineage: Bacteria; Bacillati; Actinomycetota; Actinomycetes. The record is from RNAcentral.
GACGAACGCUGGCGGCGUGCUUAACACAUGCAAGUGGAGCGACGAACCAGGCUUCGGCCUGGGGCAAAGCCGCGAACGGGUGAGUAUCACGUGGGUAACCUGCCCCGAUGACCGGGACAACCCGAGGAAACUCGGGCUAAUACCGGAUGUGCUCGCGACCCUCAAGGGUCAUGAGUAAAGGAAGCUUCGGCCUCCGCAUUGGGUUGGGCCCGCGGCCCAUUAGCUUGUUGGUGAGGUAAAGGCUCACCAAGGCCACGAUGGGUAGCUGGUCUGAGAGGACGAUCAGCCACACUGGGACUGAGACACGGCCCAGACUCCUACGGGAGGCUG